GAUGAACGCUGGCGGCGCGCCUAACACAUGCAAGUCGAACGAUUACAGCACCUUAGGGUGUGUUUAAAGUGGCGAACGGCUGAGUAACACGUGGGCAAACUGCCAUCUUCAUUGGCAUAGCCACGGGCAACCGUGGACAUUACCGAAUACUUCGUGCCUCCUGCAUGGGAGACCAGAGAAAGUUCCGGCGGAGCGAGAUGGGACCGGGGCAUGUCAGCUUGUUGGUGGGGGAACGGCAUAGCCCGUCAAUGCUGGGUUACUGAGCUGAGAGAUGGGCCAGCCAGAAUGGGACUGAGACACGGCCCAGUCGCCAACGGGAGGCAGCGGUGGGGAAUCUGGCACAAUGAGCGAAAGCCUGAUGCAGCGACGCCGCGUGCGGAAAGAAGGCCUGCGGGGAAAAAACCGCUGCCGGCAAGUACGACGCGAAUGCGACGGUACCCGAAGAAGAAGCACCGGCUAACUACGUG
This 467-nucleotide ribosomal RNA is filed under the name uncultured bacterium. Its description in RNAcentral is "partial 16S ribosomal RNA". It matches the Rfam family "Bacterial small subunit ribosomal RNA", at positions 28 to 507 of the family's 1533-position model. The record is from RNAcentral.